AAAAAAAAAAAAAAAAAAAGCUUUGCAGUAGAACCUCAUUUGUUGUCAAGUGUUGUCAUUAGUAUGUUUCAUAUCAAGCAACUCAUUUGAAGCAUCUAUAAAUUCCUUUAGCAGCAUAGCUUUGAGACGGGUAGGUGUCAGUUUACAAUGGACUGCUCAAUGUAUUUGGAGCAUAUUUAUGCUGCAUGAGAAUUUGUGAACUCUUUUUUUGACAAUAGACACCAUAUCUGGGUUAUCAAGCUUCUUUUUAACCAUUCUGUUGCAGAUUCCUUCCAUUUGCAUCCUUUCCAUUGGUUAUGUUUCUUAAUCAAACAUUAACAUCUUUGAAUCCCAUCUUAGCUAUUCCAUCGUUUCGGCUCCCUGCAUGUUUCAUCUCUCUUUCUAUUAAUAUCAAUCAUCCCGAUUCCAUUAGAUAAUUAUGCAUCUCAAUAUCAAAGCUUAAGCAGUGUUAGAACUUAUUGCCUGAUCAUAAUCUUUGCUUUUGUGAAAACUGAGGAAUGAUGGUACAUUUAAUGAUCUAUAGAUAUCCGGGGUUGAAGAAAAUGUGCUAGAAUUAAAGUCUGCCAAAUAUACAUAAUAUGCCAUGUUUAGCCUAAUAUGACAGCAUCAAUUGCACAAGGCCAGCACCUUGUGAUGUUGAAAGCUCGUACACAGAUUUCAGAAAAAUGGGUAUAACUCCAAGGAGGCAAGUACUUGGCUAUUUCUGCGAAACUUCACAAUGGGUCAUCAUUUCUAUGCCCUUUUUCCUCUUUUGUGAAAGUUACAGUUAAUUCCUGUUGGUACAGUUAUUGAUUUGGAUGACCCUCCUUUCUAGGAUUCUUAGAAUGAGUAAAAAGCCUAAUCUCUAGGAUUCAAUUUUUAAGAGGAAUAAUCUGACACUAGACAUCGUCUUUAUGUCUGCAACGUUUGCGGCUUGGAGUUAAUGCCAUUGCCAUAACACUCAAUUUUAAGGUCAAUAAAUGCCAACACACUGCAAUUCAUGAGUGCACGCAAUAAAUACAUAUGACAUGCAGUCAUGGGCAGUAUACCUUUUGAGGAAUUUGAUAGAAAGGUUUUGAAUUUUGCUGUGUUUAGUAGGUCUAGAGAUAUAUAAUGGAAAUAAGAGUACAUGGGCUAGCCUAGUUGCGAGCGUAAAAAAGAGACCCAAUGUCCUGAAGACUAAUGAAAAACAACCCAUGGCUAAACACAACAAACCUGAUUCUAGCUCACAAUCCCAUGCCAACUUGCUUAUUGUAGACAACUCCAAGUAGCUGCUACCGUUGCCAGAGUCUCCAGAGGCUGUCAACUUAGGAUGUUCAAACACAAGCAUAGCCAGAAUCGAGACCCUAAAGGGAUAAAAACUCAGUAACAUGAGCAGCCAUGGGUGUGCUAGGACCCACUACCGUAAACCCAACCAAGGGUGUGCCAAGAUGCAAUCCAUUGAAGGAAGUGUUAUAUAAAAAGAAUAGCAUUAUCAAUAAAUAAAAAUCUAAAAAAAGAAAAAUUAAAUAAAACUGAUAAAAAUAUUUUAUUUUAUAAAAAAUAAGAAAGAAAUAAAUUUUUUACACAUUUAUUAAUAAAAACAAUGCGAUUUAGCAAAUAAUUUUUAAUAUAAAAUAAAAGUUUAUUCAUUUAAUUAAAAUGUAUAAUAA
This 1631-nucleotide unclassified non-coding RNA is filed under the name Hevea brasiliensis (rubber tree). Lineage: Eukaryota; Viridiplantae; Streptophyta; Magnoliopsida; Malpighiales; Euphorbiaceae. The record is from RNAcentral.